This 274-nucleotide ribosomal RNA is filed under the name uncultured bacterium. RNAcentral's name for it is "partial 16S ribosomal RNA". It matches the Rfam family "Bacterial small subunit ribosomal RNA", at positions 523 to 796 of the family's 1533-position model. The record is from RNAcentral.
AUACGGAGGGUGCAAGCGUUGUUCGGAAUCACUGGGCGUAAAGGGCGCGCAGGCGGUUUGGUAAGUCAGAUGUGAAAGCCCACGGCUCAACCGUGGAAGUGCAUUUGAAACUGCCAGACUUGAGUACCAGAGGGGAUAGUGGAAUUCCCGGUGUAGAGGUGAAAUUCGUAGAUAUCGGGAGGAAUACCGGUGGCGAAGGCGACUUUCUGGCUGGAUACUGACGCUGAGGCGCGAAAGCGUGGGGAGCAAACAGGAUUAGAUACCCCAGUAGUCC